GCACCGCUAGCUCAAGUGGUAGAGCAGCUGACUCUUAAUCAGCGGGUUCGGGGUUCGAGUCCCUGGCGGUGCACAA
This 76-nucleotide transfer RNA is filed under the name Chlorobiota bacterium. RNAcentral describes it as "Chlorobi bacterium (sediment metagenome) tRNA-Lys". It matches the Rfam family "tRNA". From Rfam's summary of the family: Transfer RNA (tRNA) molecules are approximately 80 nucleotides in length. Their secondary structure includes four short double-helical elements and three loops (D, anti-codon, and T loops). Lineage: Bacteria; Pseudomonadati; Chlorobiota. The record is from RNAcentral.